CAUUAUGGUGGCGGGGGCCGUGCAAAGUGGGGUAGCAGCAGUGGGGGCCCCAAAACCCAGCCCGCGCUGCCCGGGGCGCCUGGGGACAACGGUGGGCGAGCAAUUCGGCACCGGGACCUUUUAUUGAUCCGGGUCGCGGCCCCGCUGCGCCUCCCCAGCCUGGCUUUUGAGGCCAGUCCCGGGGAUUUUGGGUGCACCGGGGCUGGGCGCGUGGGUGCCACGCGUCCCCAACCCCCAUCCCACCCCUUGUGGUCCCCAUCCCGGGCGGGCAUCGGGACCGGUAGCACCACCGCUCCUUGUCCCCAUGCGCCAGGGUCCCCAUCAGGCGGCGUGGAGCUUCUGGUGCCGGCGGAGCUGGGAUUUGUGGCGAAACCCCUCGCCGCAGUCGGGGCAGCCGUGGGGCUUCUCGCCGGUGUGGGUGCGCCGGUGGCGGAUGAGGUUGGAGGAGACGCUGAAGCGCUUGCCGCACUCCCCGCAGCGGUAGGGCUUCUCCCUGGUGUGCGUGCGCUGGUGCUGGACGAGCGCCGAGCUCUCGCUGAAGCGCUUGCCGCAGGCGCCGCAGCCGUAGGGCUUCUCGCCGGUGUGGAUGCGCCGGUGGGUGGCCAGGUUGGAGUUCUGGCUGAAGCCCUUCCCGCAGGCCCCGCAGGUGUAGGGCUUCUCGCCGGUGUGCGUGACCUGGUGCCGCGCCAGGUCCGAGCUGCGGCUGAAGCCCUUGCCGCACUCGCCGCAGAUGGUGGGGCGCAGGCGGCCCCCCCGCAGCCCCAGCAGCUCCUCCAGCGGUCCCAGGCCCCGCGGGCCCCCCGACGCCUUGCCCCGGGGCCCGGCGGGUGCCUUCCGCCGCCGCCUCGCCGCCGGGCACCCGGGGGUCUCGCUGCCGGGGCAGGCUGCAGGGAGAGCGGAGCUGGGCACCGGCGGGGGCGCGGGGCAGGCCAGGGGCCGCGACCCCUCUGCCCCUUCCCCAUCCCUUUUGCACCUCCUGCAGCCCUUCUCCGUCCGCUCCAGCCCUCUCCCACCUUCUCCAUCCCCUCCUCCCCUUCUCUGUCCCUCUGCCACCUCCUCCAUCUCCCCUACCUCUUUCCCAGCCCCUGUCCCUACCCCGGACCUUAUCUGCCCCAUCCCUUUCCCACCUCCUCCACCCCCUUGUCC
Molecule: long non-coding RNA, 1146 nt
Filed under: Anser cygnoides (Swan goose)
Lineage: Eukaryota; Metazoa; Chordata; Aves; Anseriformes; Anatidae
Description: lncRNA (ENSACDG00005011962.1)
Source: RNAcentral